UUUUGCAUUGGGCUUCGUGAGUGUUUGGUGCCAAAGAUCAUAUGACAAAACAUUUCUUUCAUUCAGAAAACGUCAAGUGAUCCCGACAGCUCUUGAAAUAUUUAGAUACAACAUUAUAUAACGAACUGCACCAAUCAUUGAUCAAGAGAACUUUUGCUCUGCUUACCCACAAGAAAGAAAAAGAUUGUGAAAAAUGAAUACGUUCAAAUACACUGCGUUCAUUGUACUUCUCUACGUUUUUAUGAAUGAAUUUUGUGUGUGCGUUGGAAAACGUGCGUAUAACUCGCGUUGUAAACCUCGGUUGGGAAUUUCAGAAUUAAAAAGGAAAGGUUGUGAUGUGAAAAGGGUGCCCACAAGUGGUUGUCAUGGACAAUGUUUCUCGAGUGCUACACCGUUAACUACAGGAGGAUUUAAAAAGACCUGUUCAUGCUGCUCUCCAACUGCAGUUGCUCGUUUUCCUGUUUAUCUGAGAUGCAAUAAUAACGUACAAGUUAAAGUACUCAUGCCUAGAGCUUUAAAAUGUAGAUGUAGACCGUGUUAACAUUGCAAGCUGGACAAGAAUAUUAAAUGGCAUGCGUAGCUUGUGUGUCGACGUGAAUUUUUCGAAAGGGCAAAGUUUUACGAUGACAGAUAUCGACUGAAAAAUUAUGAAAUUAUUUAACAACUGUACGUACGACUGAGAGAAACAGAUGAUGUUGUACAUUCUUGUUUGGGUUUACAGUACAAUAAAAUUUUAAUAGUAUAUCUUUGUCUAGCUACUCUACAUCGAAUGGAAUUUGUAGACUUCUAUUUUUAUAUAUCUCAGUGUUGGUAUAUCUAUAUCUUAUUUAAUUUGGUUAAAUCCGAUGUUUUUGGAUGUUGUGUAUGAGUCUGGUUUGUGACUGUAACAUUACCAAUUAACCAAAUCAUAAACUUUCUUUAAAUUUUGCUGUGGGGCGCGAACUUAAAUAUAGACAUGUUGAGCCAAGAAGGCAUGCAGCGUUCAAUUGAAUUACUGCUCAUUGACAUUUCGCAAUUUAUUCCAAACUUCAUCAUAUGUGACGGCAUUUCACUAAAUUGAGUACAUUAAAAACUUAUAUGGAAUAGUUUAUAUAUAUACAGUAUAAGUUAAUAUAUUAUCUUAAAAAAUGUAAAUAUCGGUAAAUUCGAGUAAAAUAUAAGAAAAUUGUGAUGAAUGUAGUUUUUAAAACAUUUACUGUCGAAAAUUAUAUAACUUUUUACAACAAA
Molecule: long non-coding RNA, 1227 nt
Organism: Xenia sp. Carnegie-2017
Lineage: Eukaryota; Metazoa; Cnidaria; Anthozoa; Malacalcyonacea; Xeniidae
Exons: 2
Source: RefSeq, a predicted model, not a curated record